RNAcentral lists this non-coding RNA (188 nucleotides) under Metabacillus malikii. RNAcentral's name for it is "6S / SsrS RNA". It matches the Rfam family "6S / SsrS RNA". Rfam says of the family: E. coli 6S RNA was the first non coding RNA to be sequenced, but its function was unknown until recently. Lineage: Bacteria; Bacillati; Bacillota; Bacilli; Caryophanales; Bacillaceae. The record is from RNAcentral.
AAAUUCCUACGAUGUACGUAACCUCUAUAUGUUUUAAACCGUACUGUUUUAUCGGGAUUCUUACAUUUGUAAAUUGAUGCUAAGCCUUUAGCCUUAUGAAAGGACAGCAGAGACGUUUACAUGCGGAAACCCACCUGCUUUAGAGCGGGUUAUAAAACAUGUGGGGAUACGGCAUAGGUGGGACUCUA